Molecule: ribosomal RNA, 1080 nt
Filed under: Curtobacterium sp. 1A-2
Lineage: Bacteria; Bacillati; Actinomycetota; Actinomycetes; Micrococcales; Microbacteriaceae
Description: bacterial SSU rRNA
Rfam family: Bacterial small subunit ribosomal RNA
Source: RNAcentral
CAUGCAGUCGAACGAUGAUGCCCAGCUUGCUGGGUGGAUUAGUGGCGAACGGGUGAGUAACACGUGAGUAACCUGCCCCUGACUCUGGGAUAAGCGUUGGAAACGACGUCUAAUACUGGAUAUGAUCACUGGCCGCAUGGUCUGGUGGUGGAAAGAUUUUUUGGUUGGGGAUGGACUCGCGGCCUAUCAGCUUGUUGGUGAGGUAAUGGCUCACCAAGGCGACGACGGGUAGCCGGCCUGAGAGGGUGACCGGCCACACUGGGACUGAGACACGGCCCAGACUCCUACGGGAGGCAGCAGUGGGGAAUAUUGCACAAUGGGCGAAAGCCUGAUGCAGCAACGCCGCGUGAGGGAUGACGGCCUUCGGGUUGUAAACCUCUUUUAGUAGGGAAGAAGCGAAAGUGACGGUACCUGCAGAAAAAGCACCGGCUAACUACGUGCCAGCAGCCGCGGUAAUACGUAGGGUGCAAGCGUUGUCCGGAAUUAUUGGGCGUAAAGAGCUCGUAGGCGGUUUGUCGCGUCUGCUGUGAAAUCCCGAGGCUCAACCUCGGGCUUGCAGUGGGUACGGGCAGACUAGAGUGCGGUAGGGGAGAUUGGAAUUCCUGGUGUAGCGGUGGAAUGCGCAGAUAUCAGGAGGAACACCGAUGGCGAAGGCAGAUCUCUGGGCCGUAACUGACGCUGAGGAGCGAAAGCAUGGGGAGCGAACAGGAUUAGAUACCCUGGUAGUCCAUGCCGUAAACGUUGGGCGCUAGAUGUAGGGACCUUUCCACGGUUUCUGUGUCGUAGCUAACGCAUUAAGCGCCCCGCCUGGGGAGUACGGCCGCAAGGCUAAAACUCAAAGGAAUUGACGGGGGCCCGCACAAGCGGCGGAGCAUGCGGAUUAAUUCGAUGCAACGCGAAGAACCUUACCAAGGCUUGACAUACACCGGAAACGGCCAGAGAUGGUCGCCCCCUUGUGGUCGGUGUACAGGUGGUGCAUGGUUGUCGUCAGCUCGUGUCGUGAGAUGUUUGGGUUAAGUCCCGCAACGAGCGCAACCCUCGUUCUAUGUUGCCAGCGGGUUAUGCCGGGGACUCAUAGGA